GCUGGCGGCGUGCCUAAUACAUGCAAGUCGAACGAACUCUGGUAUUGAUUGGUGCUUGCAUCAUGAUUUACAUUUGAGUGAGUGGCGAACUGGUGAGUAACACGUGGGAAACCUGCCCAGAAGCGGGGGAUAACACCUGGAAACAGAUGCUAAUACCGCAUAACAACUUGGACCGCAUGGUCCGAGUUUGAAAGAUGGCUUCGGCUAUCACUUUUGGAUGGUCCCGCGGCGUAUUAGCUAGAUGGUGGGGUAACGGCUCACCAUGGCAAUGAUACGUAGCCGACCUGAGAGGGUAAUCGGCCACAUUGGGACUGAGACACGGCCCAAACUCCUACGGGAGGCAGCAGUAGGGAAUCUUCCACAAUGGACGAAAGUCUGAUGGAGCAACGCCGCGUGAGUGAAGAAGGGUUUCGGCUCGUAAAACUCUGUUGUUAAAGAAGAACAUAUCUGAGAGUAACUGUUCAGGUAUUGACGGUAUUUAACCAGAAAGCCACGGCUAACUACGUGCCAGCAGCCGCGGUAAUACGUAGGUGGCAAGCGUUGUCCGGAUUUAUUGGGCGUAAAGCGAGCGCAGGCGGUUUUUUAAGUCUGAUGUGAAAGCCUUCGGCUCAACCGAAGAAGUGCAUCGGAAACUGGGAAACUUGAGUGCAGAAGAGGACAGUGGAACUCCAUGUGUAGCGGUGAAAUGCGUAGAUAUAUGGAAGAACACCAGUGGCGAAGGCGGCUGUCUGGUCUGUAACUGACGCUGAGGCUCGAAAGUAUGGGUAGCAAACAGGAUUAGAUACCCUGGUAGUCCAUACCGUAAACGAUGAAUGCUAAGUGUUGGAGGGUUUCCGCCCUUCAGUGCUGCAGCUAACGCAUUAAGCAUUCCGCCUGGGGAGUACGGCCGCAAGGCUGAAACUCAAAGGAAUUGACGGGGGCCCGCACAAGCGGUGGAGCAUGUGGUUUAAUUCGAAGCUACGCGAAGAACCUUACCAGGUCUUGACAUACUAUGCAAAUCUAAGAGAUUAGACGUUCCCUUCGGGGACAUGGAUACAGGUGGUGCAUGGUUGUCGUCAGCUCGUGUCGUGAGAUGUUGGGUUAAGUCCCGCAACGAGCGCAACCCUUAUUAUCAGUUGCCAGCAUUAAGUUGGGCACUCUGGUGAGACUGCCGGUGACAAACCGGAGGAAGGUGGGGAUGACGUCAAAUCAUCAUGCCCCUUAUGACCUGGGCUACACACGUGCUACAAUGGAUGGUACAACGAGUUGCGAACUCGCGAGAGUAAGCUAAUCUCUUAAAGCCAUUCUCAGUUCGGAUUGUAGGCUGCAACUCGCCUACAUGAAGUCGGAAUCGCUAGUAAUCGCGGAUCAGCAUGCCGCGGUGAAUACGUUCCCGGGCCUUGUACACACCGCCCGUCACACCAUGAGAGUUUGUAACACCCAAAGUCGGUGGGGUAACCUUUUAGGAACCAGCCGCCUAAGGUGGGACAGAUGAUUAGGGUGAAGUCGUAACAAGGUAGCCGUAGGAGAACCUGCGGUUGGAUCACC
Molecule: ribosomal RNA, 1527 nt
Filed under: Lactiplantibacillus plantarum
Lineage: Bacteria; Bacillati; Bacillota; Bacilli; Lactobacillales; Lactobacillaceae
Also listed under: 1 other name
Description: 16S ribosomal RNA
Rfam family: Bacterial small subunit ribosomal RNA
Source: RNAcentral